GAAGAAUACAACCCGGGGGUACAAAAUGACCCCAGGGCGUACGGAUAGAGUUGAAUAGCUCAGCCGUCAAUGAGAUUUCGACAUCGAAUUGCUUCGUUGUAGUUGUAGUACAGGUGCCCCUUUCGACAAAUCAGGUUGUGUGUACAGCCUUUUUCUACGCUGAGCGCGCGCUGGUGUCAUUCUGUCUUGUGGCUCGCGGCCGCGGCGCGAGGUGUAAAACGACAAACAGUGGUUUCAGUUGGUUCAUGACUGCUGGUACGCACACACACACCUCUCUUGUUCAGUUGUUCAUGAUAUAUCAAAGAAGCUGAAGUUUUCCUCGUGAUUGGGAGCUGAGUCCGGAUUAUCCUUUCUUCUUCUCCGACAUCUUUUGUGACAUAUUUGGGUAAGUGUGCA
Long non-coding RNA from Aplysia californica (California sea hare), 396 nucleotides. RefSeq lists it as uncharacterized. The transcript has 2 exons. The record is from RefSeq and is a predicted model, not a curated record. NCBI's taxonomy places the organism in Eukaryota, Metazoa, Mollusca, Gastropoda, Aplysiida, Aplysiidae.